RNAcentral lists this ribosomal RNA (491 nucleotides) under uncultured bacterium. RNAcentral's name for it is "partial 16S ribosomal RNA". It matches the Rfam family "Bacterial small subunit ribosomal RNA", at positions 29 to 507 of the family's 1533-position model. The record is from RNAcentral.
AGUGAACGCUGGCGGUAGGCCUAACACAUGCAAGUCGAACGGCAGCACAGUAAGAGCUUGCUCUUACGGGUGGCGAGUGGCGGACGGUUGAGGAAUACAUCGGAAUCUACUUUUCGUGGGGGCUAACGUCGGGAACCUUACGCUAAUACCGCAUACGAGCGACGGGUGAAAGCAGGGGAUCGUCGGACCUUGCGCGAAUGCAUGAUCCGAUGUCGGAUUAGCUAGUUGGCGGGGUAAAGGCCCACCAAGGCGACGAUCCGUAGCUGGUCUGAGAGGAUGAUCAGCCACACUGGAACUGAGACACGGUCCAGACUCCUACGGGAGGCAGCAGUGGGGAAUAUUGGACAAUGGGCGCAAGCCUGAUCCAGCCAUACCGCGUGAGUGAAGAAGGCCUUCGGGUUGUAAAGCCCUUUUGUUGGGAAAGAAAAGCAGCAGGUUAAUACCCCGCUGUUCUGACGGUACCCAAAGAAUAAGCACCGGCUAACUUCGUG